Molecule: ribosomal RNA, 409 nt
Filed under: Isoperla fulva
Lineage: Eukaryota; Metazoa; Arthropoda; Insecta; Plecoptera; Perlodidae
Description: partial 12S ribosomal RNA
Rfam family: Microsporidia small subunit ribosomal RNA (bases 51-409)
Source: RNAcentral
UAAACUACGAUUAGAUACCCUAUUAUUUUGGAUGUAAAGUGUUAAUACUAGAGUAGUAUAAGUUAUGAUCUUGAAACUCAAAGAAUUUGGCGGUGUUUUAGUCCUUUCAGAGGAACCUGCCCCAUAAUCGAUAUUCCACGUUAUACCUUGCUUAAUCUUGUUGAUCAGUCUGUAUAUCGCCGUCGUCAGAAUGUCCUAUAAGGGUUAGAAUUUUCUUUAUUUGUUAUAAUUAAAGUGAUGUCAGGUCAAGGUGCAGUUUAUGAUUAAGAGGAGGUGGGUUACAAUAAAUUUAUUUAUUACGGAUAAUUAUUUGCAAUUAAUGAUUUUAAGGUGGAUUUGAAUGUAAUUUUAUAUAGUAUAGUAUAUUGAUUUUGGCUCUAAAACAUGCACACAUCGCCCGUCGCUCUUA